AGAGUUUGAUCCUGGCUCAGAUUGAACGCUGGCGGCAGGCUUAACACAUGCAAGUCGAGCGGUAACAGGGGGUGCUUGCACCCCGCUGACGAGCGGCGGACGGGUGAGUAAUGCAUAGGAAACUGCCCAGUAGUGGGGGAUAGCCCGGGGAAACCCGGAUUAAUACCGCGUACGCCCUUCGGGGGAAAGCAGGGGAUCUUCGGACCUUGCGCUAUUGGAUGUGCCUAUGUCGGAUUAGCUAGUUGGUGGGGUAAAGGCCUACCAAGGCGACGAUCCGUAGCUGGUCUGAGAGGAUGAUCAGCCACAUCGGGACUGAGACACGGCCCGAACUCCUACGGGAGGCAGCAGUGGGGAAUAUUGGACAAUGGGGGCAACCCUGAUCCAGCCAUGCCGCGUGUGUGAAGAAGGCUUUCGGGUUGUAAAGCACUUUCAGUGAGGAGGAAAAGUUGGUCGUUAAUACCGGCCAGCCUUGACGUUACUCACAGAAGAAGCACCGGCUAACUCCGUGCCAGCAGCCGCGGUAAUACGGAGGGUGCAAGCGUUAAUCGGAAUUACUGGGCGUGCGCGCGUAGGUGGUUUGAUAAGCGAGAUGUGAAAGCCCCGGGCUUAACCUGGGAACGGCAUUUCGAACUGUCAGGCUAGAGUAUGGUAGAGGAGUGUGGAAUUUCCUGUGUAGCGGUGAAAUGCGUAGAUAUAGGGAAGGAACACCAGUGGCGAAGGCGGCACUCUGGACC
Molecule: ribosomal RNA, 734 nt
Filed under: uncultured Marinobacter sp.
Lineage: Bacteria; Pseudomonadati; Pseudomonadota; Gammaproteobacteria; Pseudomonadales; Marinobacteraceae
Description: bacterial SSU rRNA
Rfam family: Bacterial small subunit ribosomal RNA
Source: RNAcentral